UGAAGAACGGCUGGAAAUAUCAAUUUCCUGAUAACCGAAGGAGCAAGGAAUAAAAUACGCACUCUUUUUAUUCUGAAACUCUCAGGUAUGGGACAGCAUUCUGACA
This 106-nucleotide non-coding RNA is filed under the name [Clostridium] ultunense Esp. Its description in RNAcentral is "Glycine". It matches the Rfam family "Glycine riboswitch aptamer". Rfam says of the family: This family represents the bacterial glycine riboswitch. Glycine riboswitches usually consist of two metabolite-binding aptamers domains with similar structures in tandem. The record is from RNAcentral. Lineage: Bacteria; Bacillati; Bacillota; Tissierellia; Tissierellales; Tepidimicrobiaceae.